UGGGGAAUAUUGGGCAAUGGGCGAAAGCCUGACCCAGCAACGCCGCGUGAGUGAUGAAGGCCUUCGGGUUGUAAAACUCUUUGGACAGGGACGAAGAAAGUGACGGUACCUGUAGAACAAGCCACGGCUAACUACGUGCCAGCAGCCGCGGUAAUACGUAUGGGGCGAGCGUUGUCCGGAAUUAUUGGGCGUAAAGGGUACGUAGGCGGUCUAUUAAGUCAGGUGUGAAAGCGUGAGGCUUAACCUCAUUAAGCACUUGAAACUGAUAGACUUGAGUGAAGGAGAGGAAAGUGGAAUUCCUAGUGUAGCGGUGAAAUGCGUAGAUAUUAGGAGGAAUACCGGUGGCGAAGGCGACUUUCUGGACUUUUACUGACGCUCAGGUACGAAAGCGUGGGGAGCAAACAGG
This 406-nucleotide ribosomal RNA is filed under the name Verrucomicrobiota bacterium. RNAcentral describes it as "Verrucomicrobia bacterium partial 16S ribosomal RNA". It matches the Rfam family "Bacterial small subunit ribosomal RNA", at positions 355 to 776 of the family's 1533-position model. The record is from RNAcentral. Lineage: Bacteria; Pseudomonadati; Verrucomicrobiota.